This 433-nucleotide ribosomal RNA is filed under the name uncultured bacterium. RNAcentral's name for it is "partial 16S ribosomal RNA". It matches the Rfam family "Bacterial small subunit ribosomal RNA", at positions 29 to 507 of the family's 1533-position model. The record is from RNAcentral.
AACGAACGCUGGCGGCAUGCCUAACACAUGCAAGUCGAACGAGACCUUCGGGUCUAGUGGCGCACGGGUGCGUAACGCGUGGGAACCUGCCCUUAGGUUCGGAAUAACUCCCCGAAAGGGGUGCUAAUACCGGAUAAUGUCUUCGGACCAAAGAUUUAUCGCCUUUGGAUGGGCCCGCGUUGGAUUAGCUAGUUGGUAGGGUAAAAGCCUACCAAGGCGACGAUCCAUAGCUGGUCUGAGAGGAUGAUCAGCCACACUGGGACUGAGACACGGCCCAGACUCCUACGGAGGGCAGCAGUGGAGAAUAUUAGACGAUGGGCGAAAGCCUGAUCCAGCAAUGCCGCGUGAGUGAUGAAGGCCUUAGGGUUGUAAAGCUCUUUUACCCGGGAUGAUAAUGACAGUACCGGGAGAAUAAGCUCCGGCUAACUCCGUG